CAGCGCCACAAGUGGGGGCCAUGAUUAUUGGGCCUAAAGCAUCCGUAGCCUGCUUUGUUAGUUUUCGGUUAAAUCCAUACGCUCAACGUAUGGGCUGCCGGGAAUACUGCAAAGCUAGGGAGUGGGAGAGGUAGACGGUACUCGGUAGGAAGGGGUAAAAUCCUUUGAUCUAUUGAUGACCACCUGUGGCGAAGGCGGUCUACCAGAACACGUCCGACGGUGAGGGAUGAAAGCUGGGGGAGCAAACCGGAUUAGAUACCCGAGUAGUCC
RNAcentral lists this ribosomal RNA (270 nucleotides) under uncultured archaeon. Its description in RNAcentral is "partial 16S ribosomal RNA". It matches the Rfam family "Archaeal small subunit ribosomal RNA", at positions 477 to 747 of the family's 1478-position model. The record is from RNAcentral.